This 1645-nucleotide ribosomal RNA is filed under the name Collinsella stercoris DSM 13279. Its description in RNAcentral is "bacterial LSU rRNA". It matches the Rfam family "Bacterial large subunit ribosomal RNA", at positions 1290 to 2925 of the family's 2925-position model. The record is from RNAcentral. Lineage: Bacteria; Bacillati; Actinomycetota; Coriobacteriia; Coriobacteriales; Coriobacteriaceae.
GAGAAUGCUGGCAUGAGUAGCGAGAGACGAGAGAGUAACUCGUCCGCCGUAAACCCGAGGUUUCCUGGGCGAGGCUAAUCCUCCCAGGGUCAGUCGGGGGCUAAGCCGAGGGCGGAUGCCGUAGGCGAAGCGCAGCAGGUGGACAUUCCUGCACCGGAGAUGCACCGUCACGACCGACGGGGCGACGGAUUGGGGUGGCUCGGCGGGGUUCUGGACGUCCCCGUGAUGGAGCGCGGCCCGGGUACCAGGCAAAUCCGGUACCCACUGAGGGCGAGGCUCCGGACGAAGCGAGAGAGCGAAGCGAGUGAGCCCGUGGUCCCCAGAAAAACCCCUAGGCAGGGGCAUCUCCGCCCGUACCGCAAACCGACACAGGUGGGUGGGUAGAACAUACCGAGGCGAUCGGGUCAACCAUGGUCAAGGAACUCGGCAAAAUGGCCCCGUAACUUCGGGAGAAGGGGCGCCGGCGCGUACGUGGAGGGACUCGCUCCCCGAGCGGAGGCCGGCCGCAGUGAAGAGGCCCAAUCGACUGUUUACCAAAAACACAGGACUCUGCAGAAGGCGAGAGCCGACGUAUAGGGUCUGACGCCUGCCCGGUGCCGGAAGGUCACGCGGAGGGGUUAGCCAAAAGCGAAGCCCCGAAGCCAAGCCCCGGUAAACGGCGGCCGUAACUAUAACGGUCCUAAGGUAGCGAAAUUCCUUGUCGGGUAAGUUCCGACCUGCACGAAAGGCGCAACGAAUUGGGCGCUGUCUCGACCAUGGACCCGGUGAAAUUCCACUAGUCGUGAAGAUGCGACUUACCCGCGGAAGGACGGAAAGACCCCGUGAACCUUCACUGCAGCUUGGCAUUGGCCGCUGGCCCGUCGCGUAGAGGAUAGGCGGGAGGCUUCGAAGCCCGGGCGCCAGCCCGGGUGGAGCCGACCUUGGAAUACCGCCCUCGGCGCGCCGGCGUCCUAACCCCGGGCCGUGAUCCGGCCGGGGGACCGUGCCAGGUGGGUAGUUUGACUGGGGCGGUCGCCUCCUAAAGGGUAACGGAGGCGCGCGAAGGUCCGCUCGGGACGGUCGGCAACCGUCCUCAAAGAGUGCAAGAGCGUAAGCGGGCUUGACUGCGAGGCAGACACGCCGAGCAGGUGCGAAAGCAGGCUCUAGUGAUCCGGCGGCCCCGCGUGGGUGGGCCGUCGCUCAACGGAUAAAAGGUACUCCGGGGAUAACAGGCUGAUCUUGCCCAAGAGUCCACAUCGACGGCAAGGUUUGGCACCUCGAUGUCGGCUCAUCGCAUCCUGGGGCUGGAGCAGGUCCCAAGGGUACGGCUGUUCGCCGUUUAAAGCGGUACGCGAGCUGGGUUCAGAACGUCGUGAGACAGUUCGGUCCCUAUCCUCCGCGGGCGCAGGAGAAUCGAGGGAGGCUGCCCCUAGUACGAGAGGACCGGGGUGGACGCACCUCCCGUGAACCAGUUGUCGACCAACGGCACGGCUGGGUAGCGGCGUGCGGCGCGGAUAACCGCUGAAGGCAUCUAAGCGGGAAGCCGUUCCCGAGAUCAGUUCUCCUUUUCGGUAAGGGCCCAGGUAGACUACCUGGUCGAUAGGCCGCAGGUGCAAGGGGCGCGAGCCCCUCAGCCGAGCGGUACUAAUAGCCCGAGCUCUUACCC